GCGAGAGUGGCGGAACCGGGAGACGCGCCGGACUUAGGAUCCGGUGGCCGGAAGGCCGUGGGGGUUCGAGUCCCCCCUCUCGCAC
RNAcentral lists this transfer RNA (85 nucleotides) under bacterium HR12. RNAcentral describes it as "tRNA-Leu". It matches the Rfam family "tRNA". Rfam says of the family: Transfer RNA (tRNA) molecules are approximately 80 nucleotides in length. Their secondary structure includes four short double-helical elements and three loops (D, anti-codon, and T loops). Further hydrogen bonds mediate the characteristic L-shaped molecular structure. tRNAs have two regions of fundamental functional importance: the anti-codon, which is responsible for specific mRNA codon recognition, and the 3' end, to which the tRNAs corresponding amino acid is attached (by aminoacyl-tRNA synthetases). tRNAs cope with the degeneracy of the genetic code in two manners: having more than one tRNA (with a specific anti-codon) for a particular amino acid; and 'wobble' base-pairing, i.e. permitting non-standard base-pairing at the 3rd anti-codon position. The record is from RNAcentral.